This 378-nucleotide ribosomal RNA is filed under the name uncultured bacterium. Its description in RNAcentral is "partial 16S ribosomal RNA". It matches the Rfam family "Bacterial small subunit ribosomal RNA", at positions 338 to 733 of the family's 1533-position model. The record is from RNAcentral.
CCUACGGGUGGCAGCAGUGGGGGAUAUUGCACAAUGGGGGGAACCCUGAUGCAGCGACGCCGCGUGGGUGAAGAAGCGCUUCGGCGCGUAAAGCCCUGUCAGCAGGGAAGAUAAUGACGGUAUCUGAAGAAGAAGCACCGGCUAACUACGUGCCAGCAGCCGCGGUAAUACGUAGGGGGCAAGCGUUACCCGGAUUUACUGGGUGUAAAGGGGGCGCAGGCGGGGUUGUAAGCCAGAUGUGAAAGCCCGGGGCUUAACCCCGGGACUGCAUUUGGAACUGCGUGGCUGGAGUGCAGGAGGGGCAGGUGGAAUUCCUGGUGUAGGGGUAAAAUGCGUAGAGAUCAGGAGGAAUACCCGUGGCGAAGGCGACCUGCUGGA